AUUGAACGCUGGCGGCAUGCUUUACACAUGCAAGUCGAACGGCAGCGCGGGUUUCGGCCUGGCGGCGAGUGGCGAACGGGUGAGUAAUACAUCGGAACGUGCCCAGUAGUGGGGGAUAGCUCGGCGAAAGCCGGAUUAAUACCGCAUACGACCUGAGGGUGAAAGCGGGGGAUCUUCGGACCUCGCGCUAUUGGAGCGGCCGAUGGCAGAUUAGCUAGUUGGUGGGGUAAAGGCCUACCAAGGCGACGAUCUGUAGCUGGUCUGAGAGGACGACCAGCCACACUGGGACUGAGACACGGCCCAGACUCCUACGGGAGGCAGCAGUGGGGAAUUUUGGACAAUGGGCGAAAGCCUGAUCCAGCAAUGCCGCGUGUAUGAUGAAGGCCUUCGGGUUGUAAAGCACUUUUGGCGGGAACGAAAAGGACUGUGCCAAUACCACGGUUCGAUGACGGUACCCGCAGAAUAAGCACCGGCUAACUACGUG
RNAcentral lists this ribosomal RNA (484 nucleotides) under uncultured bacterium. Its description in RNAcentral is "partial 16S ribosomal RNA". It matches the Rfam family "Bacterial small subunit ribosomal RNA", at positions 29 to 507 of the family's 1533-position model. The record is from RNAcentral.